GCGGAUAUGGCGGAAUUGGCAGACGCGCUGGAUUUAGGUUCCAGUGGCACAAACCGUGGGGGUUCAAAUCCCUCUAUCCGCACCA
Molecule: transfer RNA, 85 nt
Filed under: Clostridiaceae bacterium
Lineage: Bacteria; Bacillati; Bacillota; Clostridia; Eubacteriales; Clostridiaceae
Description: tRNA-Leu
Rfam family: tRNA
About the family: Transfer RNA (tRNA) molecules are approximately 80 nucleotides in length. Their secondary structure includes four short double-helical elements and three loops (D, anti-codon, and T loops).
Source: RNAcentral